CCUACGGGGGGCUGCAGUAGGGAAUAUUGGACAAUGGGCGCAAGCCUGAUCCAGCCAUCCCGCGUGAAGGAUUAAGGCCCUCUGGGUUGUAAACUUCUUUUCUUUGGGAAUAAAAACUCCGAUUCAUCGGAGCUUGAAGGUACCAGAGGAAUAAGCACCGGCUAACUCCGUGCCAGCAGCCGCGGUAAUACGGAGGGUGCAAGCGUUAUCCGGUUUAACUGGUUUUAAAGUGUCUGUAGGUGUCAGUGGUGAAAGCCCUGAGCUAAACUCCGGAACUGCCAUUGAUACUGCUUAGCUUGAAUCAGGUCGAGGUGGAUGGAAUAUUACAUGUAGCGGUGAAAUGCUUAGAUAUGUAAUAGAACACCGAUUGCGAAGGCAGUUCACUAGGCCUGUAUUGACACUGAGGCACGAAAGCGUGGGGAUCGAACAGGAUUAGAUACCCGGGUAGUC
RNAcentral lists this ribosomal RNA (450 nucleotides) under uncultured bacterium. RNAcentral's name for it is "partial 16S ribosomal RNA". It matches the Rfam family "Bacterial small subunit ribosomal RNA", at positions 338 to 795 of the family's 1533-position model. The record is from RNAcentral.